RNAcentral lists this ribosomal RNA (468 nucleotides) under uncultured bacterium. Its description in RNAcentral is "partial 16S ribosomal RNA". It matches the Rfam family "Bacterial small subunit ribosomal RNA", at positions 28 to 507 of the family's 1533-position model. The record is from RNAcentral.
GACGAACGCUGGCGGCGUGCUUAACACAUGCAAGUCGAACGGAAAGGCCCUGCUUUUGUGCGGUUCUCGAGUGGCGAACGCGGGAGUGACACGUGAGUAUCCUGCUCUUGACUUUGGGAUAACUUCAGGAAACUGGGGCUAAUACAGGAUAGGAUAUCCUGCUGCAUGGUGGGCGGUGGAAAGUUUCGGCGGUUGGGGCUGGACUAGCGGCUUAUCAGCUUGUUGGUCGGGUAGUGGCUUACCAAGGCUUUGACGGGUAGCCGGCCUGAGAGCGUGACCGGCCACAUUGGUACUGCGGGACGGCGCAGACUCCUACGUGAGGCAGCAGUGGGGAAUAUUGCACAAUGGGCGGAAGCCUGAUGCAGCAACGCCCCGUGCGGGAUGACGGCCUUCGGGUUAUAAACCGCUUUCGCCUGUGACGAAGCGUGAGUGACGGUAAUGGGUAAAGAAGCACCGGCUAACUACGUG